AAGUCGUAACAAGGUUUCCGUAGGUGAACCUGCGGAAGGAUCAUUAACGAGUUUUGAAACGAGUUGUAGCUGGCCUUCCGAGGCAUGUGCACGCUCUGCUCAUCCACUCUACCCCUGUGCACUUACUGUAGGUUGGCGUGGGCUCCUUAACGGGAGCAUCCUGCCGGCCUAUGUAUACUACAAACACUUUAAAGUAUCAGAAUGUAAACGCGUCUAACGCAUCUAUAAUACAACUUUUAGCAACGGAUCUCUUGGCUCUC
This 260-nucleotide unclassified non-coding RNA is filed under the name air metagenome. RNAcentral's name for it is "partial contains small subunit ribosomal RNA, internal transcribed spacer 1, and 5.8S ribosomal RNA". The stretch from base 1 to 46 matches the Rfam family "Eukaryotic small subunit ribosomal RNA", at positions 1786 to 1831 of the family's 1831-position model. The record is from RNAcentral.